UGCCAGCAGCCGCGGUAAUACGGAGGGUCCAAGCGUUGUUCGGAAUUAUUGGGCGUAAAGCGCGUGUAGGCGGUUCGUUAAGUCUGAUGUGAAAGCCCGGGGCUCAACCCCGGAAGUGCAUUGGAAACUGGCGAACUUGAGUACGGGAGAGGGAAGUGGGAAUUCCGAGUGUAGGAGUGAAAUCCGUAGAUAUUCGGAGGAACACCAGUGGCGAAGGCGGCUUUCUGGACCAAUACUGACGCUGAGAAGCGGAAGCGGGGGGAGCGAACAGGAUUAGAUA
This 280-nucleotide ribosomal RNA is filed under the name uncultured bacterium. RNAcentral's name for it is "partial 16S ribosomal RNA". It matches the Rfam family "Bacterial small subunit ribosomal RNA", at positions 506 to 784 of the family's 1533-position model. The record is from RNAcentral.